RNAcentral lists this long non-coding RNA (355 nucleotides) under Rosa chinensis. RNAcentral describes it as "sRNA RchiOBHm_Chr2g0140361". Lineage: Eukaryota; Viridiplantae; Streptophyta; Magnoliopsida; Rosales; Rosaceae. The record is from RNAcentral.
CUUUUACAACAUUGGUAUAUCCUUGUCUGCUGCAUGGACUCAAUUCCUUUGUAUGUUUACAGAUAAUUGUGUGUCAGUUUACAAGUUACUUUUAUGCACACCAGAUGUUCGAUAUUUUGUCUAGCUGGUUCUCUUAUGCAGAAAAAUGAUGUUCGAAAUGAUGAGCCCAGCAAUGUUUUAGUCUCAUAGGUGAUAUUUUGUAUGUGAGGCUCAUUUCUGCUGUAAUUGAGAUACUGAAGUUGUAGGUUUUAUGCAGAGUAAAAAGAGAUUGCUUCUGGCUCACAGUGACAUGUUGGAGUGGAAUGCUAAGCUUGUCCAGGGACUACUAACUUAUUGUCGAUUCUCAAAUGGUUGA